AGUGAAUAGAUACCCUGGUAGUCCUAGCCGUAAACGAUACUCGCUAGGUGUCGGCCACGGUGCGACCGUUGUCGGUGCCGUAGGGAAAGCCGUGAAGCGAGCCACCUGGGAAGUACGGCCGCAAGGCUGAAACUUAAAGGAAUUGGCGGGGGAGCACCACAACGGGUGGAGCUUGCGGUUUAAAUUGGAUUCAACGCCGGAAAUCUUACCGGGACCGACAGCAACAUGAAGGCCAGGCUGAAGACUUUGCCGGAUUAGCUGAGAGGUGGUGCAUGGCCGUCGUCAGUUCGUACUGUGAAGCAUCCUGUUAAGUCAGGCAACGAGCGAGACCCACGCCCACAGUUGCCAGCGUACUCUCUGGAGUGACGGGUACACUGUGGGGACCGCCGCUGCUAAAGCGGAGGAAGGAAUGGGCAACGGUAGGUCAGUAUGCCCCGAAUAUCCCGGGCUACACGCGAGCUACAAUGGUUGGUACAAUGGGUAUCUACCCCGAAAGGGGUAUGGAAAUCUCCUAAAGCCAAUCUUAGUUCGGAUUGAGGGGCUGCAACUCG
RNAcentral lists this ribosomal RNA (551 nucleotides) under uncultured bacterium. RNAcentral describes it as "bacterial SSU rRNA". It matches the Rfam family "Archaeal small subunit ribosomal RNA", at positions 725 to 1270 of the family's 1478-position model. The record is from RNAcentral.